Molecule: non-coding RNA, 209 nt
Organism: Schizosaccharomyces pombe (fission yeast)
Lineage: Eukaryota; Fungi; Ascomycota; Schizosaccharomycetes; Schizosaccharomycetales; Schizosaccharomycetaceae
Source: the annotation of a GenBank genome assembly
AAACCAAGGCUUGUAACCUUUAAAAUAAGUCAGUAAGCUGAUAAUUUUUUCAAUCUAACUAAGAUAUUAAAGCGUACUUGGUUGAUCCAAGCUAAGAGCUCUUGCCGAGAUUCAGACAUGUUGUGUGGUAUUGAGAUGAUAGAGUCGCGUCGUACAAGCGCUGCAGAAAACACAAUGAAUUUUAUUGACACCAAGUGAACAAAUAAAUU